This 242-nucleotide ribosomal RNA is filed under the name uncultured bacterium. RNAcentral describes it as "partial 16S ribosomal RNA". It matches the Rfam family "Bacterial small subunit ribosomal RNA", at positions 57 to 305 of the family's 1533-position model. The record is from RNAcentral.
GCAAGUCGAACGAAGUGUUGAUUUUCGGAUUUUCACUUAGUGGCGCACGGGUGAGUAACGCGUGGGAACCUGCCCUUUGCUACGGGACAACCACUGGAAACGGUGGCUAAUACCGUAUAAUGCAGCGACGCAAGUUGUUGCCAAAGAUUUAUCGGCGAAGGAGGGGCCCGCGUUAGAUUAGCUUGUUGGUGGGGUAACGGCCUACCAAGUCUACGAUCUAUAGCUGGUUUUAGAGGAUGAUC